RNAcentral lists this long non-coding RNA (602 nucleotides) under Theobroma cacao (cacao). Its description in RNAcentral is "long non-coding RNA (TCAC_LNC005961)". The record is from RNAcentral. Lineage: Eukaryota; Viridiplantae; Streptophyta; Magnoliopsida; Malvales; Malvaceae.
UGGCUGAGUCUCACUCUCACGCGGUGGUCCACGUGAAGUGCACUCAAAUCUUUACCUCCAGAGAAACCCUUCACACGGCUCUCUGAUCGAGGUAAGGUAUAUCUGAUUCUGUGCCCCCUCUCUUAGGCUGGUCCACAGAACCUCCACUGCAGGGAUUAUGGAUUAUUUUAUCUACCACCUGAUUUAUAAAAUCUUUAUCCGCAUGACAUGGCAAUUUAUCACAAUCUAGCCUCUCAAGGCUGAAUACAUAGUAUAUAUAAUUUUGAUACAAAUACUGACUUUUACAUUCAUACUCACAUAUUGCUAUAAGCCAUAUAAUUUAAAACACAAUUUAUAACACAAGCAAACAGUCUCCAAUUACUCUAUUUUCAAAACCAGUAUUCAAUUUUUCAGAAAAUUUAUAAAAUCAUUUUAUUUAAACACGUUUUGUUUGUAAAACAAAAAGAUUUACCAUUUAAACUCAUUUUCUAUAAAAUCACAUAAUUGUAUAAAACUACUCUAGAUAAUUAAGACGAUAAUAAGUUUACUCACAGUUCUAGGAGUCGAUGUACUCCUAAUCCCAGUCUUCAAGCACAAUCUCUGUACUUUUACAAGUGUAAUUU